CAGUGAUCAUGACUCUGUUUGUUAUUCAGCUCAGCUCCUGACUGAAGGUUUACAGCUCUGUGUAGAGGAAAGCUUUGACAAGCCAAACCAGCUGCAACCAUGGUUCGAGUAACCAUCGACUACUAUCCUUCAUGAGGAACAAACGGCUACUACCGGCAGCUGUGCACGGAGUUGGCCAAAGUUCCUGGAACGCAGGUGACCUACCGGCAAGCGGCAUCAAACUGCUUUGAGGUAUGGGUGGAUGAUAAGCUGGUCCAUUCCAUGGCCCAGACUGGACGAUAUCCUGACGCCAAUAUGGUAAGGGCGGAGGUGAUGAAGAAAUAUGCCGGAGGGACAUCAGGAUAUUGUUCAACAGGGCAGAUGGCAUAUGGGGGAGGAUGACGAUAGUGGACCACCAGAAAGCUGGUGCAACAGAUGAGCAAAUGCUCUCUUUGUUUAAAGGUUAAAAAUUAGAUCUAAAUUCAACUAAAUGUUUUUUUUCCAAAUUUAGCACUUAACUGUGUCAGAAACACCAAUGUUACAAAAAUUAGUUGAAAUAUAACAAUGUGAAAACAAGACAAAGUAAAAAACAAACAACAACAACAACAAAAAAAAAAAACAUAUAUUGACUGAAACCAAAUUGAAAAGUUUAAAUCCUCCAGGUAUAGCCGUCAGCCAUGGGAUGAUCAGACCAGUCCCUCACAGAUCAGGCAGACAAAAAGAUGAGAGCAACUCUGAGGGUCCAGAUACUGAUGCACUUCUGUUUAUGAAUGUACACACUUAAAAAUAUGUGGUGUGUACAUGAUGCACGUUCAGAAGUUUUGCAACAAACUGGAGCCUGUGAACUGCUCUCAUCAUGUCGGUCUGACAUGUUGAACUCUUCAUUUACUCAGGAAAAAAAAAAUGCAACUCCUUAUCAAGAUAUUUGAGGGAAUACUCUCUGCUUUUUAGCCUGGAGUGACAAUAGCAGAGCUAUUAAGUCUCUGGGUGAAUUUUUACCUAGGUUAAAUCAGCAGGUUAGCCUCUGUUAGUGUAAAGACUAGAGACAGCUUACUACACUUUAUGUUCUGUAACCCAACCUGCCUUUUAGUGUCUCUGAUGUUGGCAGAUAUAAAAACAAGAUGUUAAAGCAAACAUUUGCUUUACAGGUGCUGAAAAGCAUCUUUCAAACAGAAAAAGAAGGUGACUUCAACACUUUAUGUUAGGCUAAGCUAUAGCUACAUCAACAAGCUUGUGCUUCAUAACUGUGUACAUGACACUGAUAUGUUUUUAUCACACUCCAAGCAAGACAGUGAAUAAGAGUAUUCCCAAAAGUAAUCUUACUUUGCUUGUAGGCUUUGUGGGGCUAAUUUCCUUCUGGUUUAGAUAAAGUUAAUGAGUUGUUAUGAAGCACCUUCAUUGUGCAGUCCCUGUACGGGCGAUGUCAUUCAACCUCUGACGUCUUCUUCUAUCUGAGCACUUAUGAACACACUCAUACCUGUCUAACAUCAGAUCUCUCAUAUAUUCAAAUCUAUCUUAUAUUUCCUACUGCACUAUGUAAGCAUGUAUUGACAGGUGGACACUUCAGCUCUUAGUACUGGGUAUGUGCUGCUAUCUUUGCGCUAAUUUCAUGUUUAGUGAUAAAGAAAGGCAUUCAAGCAAAGUCAAAUUUGCUUGAUCUUUAAAAACAACUUGUCAGAAUAGUUAUAUCAGACAUGCCUUUGUUUUCUCUGAAAUGCAAUAAAAUAUCCGUGAAAAACCAAA
Cheilinus undulatus (humphead wrasse) is the source of this 1722-nucleotide long non-coding RNA. RefSeq lists it as uncharacterized. NCBI's taxonomy places the organism in Eukaryota, Metazoa, Chordata, Actinopteri, Labriformes, Labridae. The transcript has 4 exons. The record is from RefSeq and is a predicted model, not a curated record.